AUUACCAUGCAGUCGAGCGGUAACAGAGAGAAGCUUGCUUCUCUGCUGACGAGCGGCGGACGGGUGAGUAAUGCUUGGGAAUAUGCCUUUAGGUGGGGGACAACAGUUGGAAACGACUGCUAAUACCGCAUAAUGUCUACGGACCAAAGAGGGGGACCUUCGGGCCUCUUGCCUUUAGAUUAGCCCAAGUGAGAUUAGCUAGAUGGUGGGGUAAUGGCUCACCAUGGCGACGAUCUCUAGCUGGUUUGAGAGGAUGAUCAGCCACACUGGGACUGAGACACGGCCCAGACUCCUACGGGAGGCAGCAGUGGGGAAUAUUGCACAAUGGGCGAAAGCCUGAUGCAGCCAUGCCGCGUGUGUGAAGAAGGCCUUCGGGUUGUAAAGCACUUUCAGUCGUGAGGAAAGGGUGUGUAUUAAUACUACACAUCUGUGACGUUAGCGACAGAAGAAGGACCGGCUAACUCCGUGCCAGCAGCCGCGGUAAUACGGAGGGUCCGAGCGUUAAUCGGAAUUACUGGGCGUAAAGCGUGCGUAGGCGGAUUGUUAAGUCAGAUGUGAAAUCCCGGGGCUCAACCUCGGAACUGCAUUUGAAACUGGCUGUCUAGAGUAUUGUAGAGGGUGGUGGAAUUUCCAGUGUAGCGGUGAAAUGCGUAGAGAUUGGAAGGAACAUCAGUGGCGAAGGCGGCCACCUGGACAAAUACUGACGCUGAGGCACGAAAGCGUGGGGAGCAAACAGGAUUAGAUACCCUGGUAGUCCACGCCGUAAACGAUGUCAACUAGCUGUCUGUGUUCUUGAAACGUGGGUAGCGUAGCUAACGCGCUAAGUUGACCGCCUGGGGAGUACGGCCGCAAGGUUAAAACUCAAAUGAAUUGACGGGGGCCCGCACAAGCGGUGGAGCAUGUGGUUUAAUUCGAUGCAACGCGAAGAACCCUUACCAUCCCUUGACAUCCACAGAAUUUCUAGAGAUAGAUUAUGCCUUCGGGAACUGUGAGACAGUGCUGCAUGGCUGUCGUCAGCUCGUGUUGUGAAUGUGGUAGGUCCGCACGAGCGCAACCCUAUCCUUAUUGCCAGCGAGUCUGUCGGACUUAGAGACUGCCGUGAUACCGAGA
This 1110-nucleotide ribosomal RNA is filed under the name uncultured bacterium. RNAcentral describes it as "bacterial SSU rRNA". It matches the Rfam family "Bacterial small subunit ribosomal RNA", at positions 48 to 1167 of the family's 1533-position model. The record is from RNAcentral.